UGUCGUUUGUAAUCGAAGGAUCCGCACGUCCUCGCGUCGGUUGCAUCGAUUUUUUAAAUUUUCUGAUGAAAAAGUGCAUUUAGUGUACACAAUUUAUGCGUAAUCUGUUACUAGUGCCCUGCUUAGCCUCCUGAAAAAGCGCGUUAUUAAUAGUACCACAACACCACACACUUCGUCCACACUCACACGAGCAUUGCUAGCUCUCUGUGUUGGUUAAUAAAAUUUCCUAAUUCAACGUUAGUGAAUUUCGUUAGCUGAUGCGGUUGGUUAUCAGUGUUUUUGUCGGUGUGGAUACCCGGAUUAGAUGACUCCAGAGCGCGGCGCGGCCUUCCCCAAGAGAGGAGACUUCUUGGGUCACCCCCUAACCCUGAUGUUCGGCCAUCGAUGACCUGUGUAGCAUGCAGAGGUACCCAAGGGAGUCACCACCCUCUGAUUUACGAGCUAGGUGUUCUAAUGCUAGAGGCUUCGGCCGGAUACAACCUGGCACCCAAGCUCCGAGAUUUCUUCGUGUACGUAUUCCGUGACCCUCGAAGGGGCAGGGGGCGGGAUAUCGGACACAUUGAAGAUGAUGAGGGGGGUCCGCCUGUAGGGGGUCCCGGUGGAUGUCCGUCCGACGGGUGACGAGGGUGACCCCAGACGAAGCGGCUUAAUUGGGAUGGGAACUGACUGGUGAGGCUUAAUCGUCGACCAAUGGGUCGAAUCUGCAUAAGGAAGGCAACCAGCACACACUCGCAGGCGGGUCGUGGAAACAUUUUUUGUUUUUUCUCUUGGUCUGCCCCCGCGUCGAAUUUUGAAGGCAGAAAAUGUCGGGAGGAGGCGAGCAUAACCAGGCCUAACUUAAACCUGUUAAAAGACAACCCGGGUUCGCUGCGCGAUUUUAAAAAACAAGAUUGUAGAAGUCAGAAAUUCUAUCUACAUGCUGCAUGUGAUCAGUCCCAAAAAAUUUCGGAUUGUUCCAGGCACCGUCGAAUACCUGGAAAACGUGUUUAAUGUCAACUCUAGAGGAUCGACCGAAGUCCAUGGAGUUGGAGGCACUCGAUGUGCCCCAUAGCAGUGAGACCACACUGUUUUUUUUCGCCGUGUAAUUAUUAUGGUGGGACUGAAAACGAACUUAGGCAAGAUAUGAUGGUGAUACAGUAUGGCUUGGAGAACUUCAAAAUUUCGGUUCGCGUCGUGGUUCCAAAGCAGUAAUUUUAGGUUCUCUACAUUUAUAGAAUGUUGCAUUAAGUACUCAUUUUUUAAUAUGCAAUUUUUUACAUAUAUUUUUACAUUUUUUCUUACUCUU
This 1285-nucleotide long non-coding RNA is filed under the name Sitophilus oryzae (rice weevil). RNAcentral's name for it is "uncharacterized LOC115883944". The record is from RNAcentral. Lineage: Eukaryota; Metazoa; Arthropoda; Insecta; Coleoptera; Curculionidae.